Molecule: ribosomal RNA, 417 nt
Filed under: uncultured microorganism
Description: bacterial SSU rRNA
Rfam family: Bacterial small subunit ribosomal RNA
Source: RNAcentral
GAGUUUGAUCGUGGCUCAGAUUGAACGCUGGCGGCAUGCCUUACACAUGCAAGUCGAACGGCAGCAUGAUCUAGCUUGCUAGAUUGAUGGCGAGUGGCGAACGGGUGAGUAAUACAUCGGAACGUGCCCUGUAGUGGGGGAUAACUAGUCGAAAGAUUAGCUAAUACCGCAUACGACCUGAGGGUGAAAGUGGGGGACCGCAAGGCCUCAUGCUAUAGGAGCGGCCGAUGUCUGAUUAGCUAGUUGGUGGGGUAAAGGCCCGACCAAGGCGACGAUCAGUAGCUGGUCUGAGAGGACGAUCAGCCACACUGGGACUGAGACACGGCCCAGACGUCCUACGGGAGGCAGCAGUGGGGAAUUUUGGACAAUGGGCGAAAGCCUGAUCCAGCAAUGCCGCGUGUGUGAAGAAGGCCUCGG